GAUGAACGCUGGCGGCGUGCCUAAUACAUGCAAGUCGAGCGGUAAGGCCUCUUCGGAGGUACACGAGCGGCGGACGGCUGAGUAACACGUAGGAACGUACUCCAAAGUGAGGAAUAAGCACCAGAAAUGGUGUCUAAUACCGCAUGUGCUCUAAGGAGUAAAGCUUCGGCGCUUUGGGAACGGCCUGCGCAUGAUUAGCUUGUUGGUGAGGUAAAAGCUCACCAAGGCGACGAUCAUUAGCUGGUCUGAGAGGAUGAUCAGCCAGACUGGGACUGAGACCCGGCCCAGACUCCUACGGGAGGCAGCAGUAGGGAAUUUUCCACAAUGGGCGAAAGCCUGAUGGAGCAACGCCGCGUGCAGGAUGAAUGCCUUCGGGUUGUAAACUGCUUUUAUAUGUGACGAUUAUGACGGUAGCAUAUGAAUAAGGAUCGGCUAACUCCGUGCCAGCCGCCGCCGUAA
RNAcentral lists this ribosomal RNA (459 nucleotides) under uncultured bacterium. Its description in RNAcentral is "partial 16S ribosomal RNA". It matches the Rfam family "Bacterial small subunit ribosomal RNA", at positions 28 to 523 of the family's 1533-position model. The record is from RNAcentral.